Molecule: non-coding RNA, 785 nt
Filed under: Pan troglodytes (chimpanzee)
Lineage: Eukaryota; Metazoa; Chordata; Mammalia; Primates; Hominidae
Source: RNAcentral
GUCACCCUUGCUCUACAGCCAAACAUGCAGGACUCUAGUAACCCGCGAAAUGAUGGGAUAGCGUUGCAAAUCCUUAAAAGAGUCUUACGGCCUAUACGACAAUUGCCUCAGGUUGCCCGAGUUGCCCAUGACAGCACAGUGCCAGCAGCCCACCGACCUCUUCUCCAGCAUUGGGUCCACAUUCCCAGAAAUCCUGGCUGACAUUGACUUCUCCACUGCAACCAUCGAGUUCAUUGUCUCCUAAACCUUGCCAUGGAGGCCUGUGGCACCUGAGCCAGCCAUUAUCAUCACCAGCACUUCCAUGAGCUACAAGCUGGACCCACUGCAGUCCUCCUGACACACUGAAAUCAGAGCCUGCACACAGAGCAGCAGAUGCUUCAAUGUAAAGGUCAUUUCCAGGUCCUUGACAGGCGUGCAUCUGGGCCAGAUCCAUGGCAAUAACCUUCAGGUUGAGGCUAGAGGGCUUCAGAUGGGCAGCUUCGAAUGACAGGAGCAAGGACCAAGAGGCCGGAAAGGGAGGGUGACAUUUUCAGCAUCUAUAAGAUCAACUUUAGAAAUAUUUGGGGGUUGACAAAUUCCCAUCAAGCUCUGUGGAUCUUGUACAACUGCUCACCGCCGGCUUCUCAUCAGCACAUGAUUGGUGCAGGGUUCUGAGGAUGAUUUUGAGAUGUUCCCUGAUGUGGUCUUGUGAGGAGAGUUCAUGACAGAUGGCAGGAAGCUUCGUGGAGAGAUUUCUGAAGACACUCCUGAGCUCCCAACAGCGGGCAACUCUCUUGCAGAGGAUA